Molecule: ribosomal RNA, 253 nt
Filed under: uncultured bacterium
Lineage: Bacteria
Description: partial 16S ribosomal RNA
Rfam family: Bacterial small subunit ribosomal RNA
Source: RNAcentral
UACAUGGGGUGCAAACGUUGCUCGGAAUCAUUGGGCGUAAAGCGCGCGCAGGUGGUUUCUUAAGUCUGAUGUGAAAGCCCACGGCUCAACCGUGGAGGGUCAUUGGAAACUGGGGAACUUGAGUGCAGGAGAGAAGAGUGGAAUUCCACGUGUAGCGGUGAAAUGCGUAGAGAUGUGGAGGAACACCAGUGGCGAAGGCGACUCUUUGGCCUGUAACUGACACUGAGGCGCGAAAGCGUGGGGAGCAAACAGG